RNAcentral lists this long non-coding RNA (1668 nucleotides) under Homo sapiens (human). RNAcentral's name for it is "HSALNT0114173". Lineage: Eukaryota; Metazoa; Chordata; Mammalia; Primates; Hominidae. The record is from RNAcentral.
UUAAAGUGCUAUAAAAAUAUCAUUAUUAAUGAUGAUUGACUGGGUUUUCAGAGCCAAGAUAUUUCAAGGCUGCUAAGUUAGAGUUGAGUGCAAAAGCGGGGGUGCUAAAAUGGCUUCAGGGUUCCUUCACUUUGUUUCUUCAUUGAUUUUUAAGUAACAUGUGAACACAGUCAAAUUGAUGAUUUUCAUUUUGAAUUAGUUUGCCCUCUGUCAUGCAGAGCCUUCCAUCUUUUCCUGACUGUCAGUGCCUAAUUCAUCUUCAUCAAGUCCCCAGCAGGAAGAUUCAGAUCUUAUAUUACUCUUUGUUUUACAGUUUUAUUGUUUACAGGAAAUUGGGACACAGAGAAAAAUAGAGAGGAAUCUACCCAAGCUUUAAGUAGAACUACUCAAGGGGAGAAGGUACAACUCCACUUCUGGGCCUGGAGGUACAGAAUCUCCUUUAUCGCAGCAGCUGCAGUAGGUGAAACAAGGGACUAUAAUCAAAUACUCCCUGGAGUUAUUUUUUGUUUGUUUACUAUUUUUGCUUUUGUUUCAGAUUCCUGAAAGAUAUUCGGUCUUGGUCUGUGUAAAUCUCAUACUUUGUACCUGAUGCCUUCAUGAACCUAGAAGUGCUCUCCCUUUUACAGAGGAGAAACUAAGGCUAAAGAAAAGCAUUUAGAGCUGCUGCAGCUUCUGAAGAUUCAUUCUUGCAGUCCUAUGGGAAGUCACCAGUUUGUUCUUUCAACAGUGUGCCAAAAGUGGAAAAAGGAAGAGUUUAAGCAACUGUCAACCAGGAAACUUUCUGUUUGUUUAUUUUUAAAAAAGAAGACUUAUCAAGCUAGCCAAGAAAUUUUGUUGAAGUUACAGGCUGUCAUUCUUUAUAAUCGCUCUACUUUCUUUUUCUUUCUGAAUCCUGCAUUUCCAUGGAGGAUAGAUAAUCUUGGGCAUUAUCCUCAUUGGCUCGGCUUAGCUCUGUCCCUUGGGGUCCUGCUGACUCUAUAAACUUUCAACUCCUAAAUCCAAUGCUGGCUCACCCAGGAAAGAAAAAAGCAAACUGAACAAUAAAAUUCAAGCUGUAGCUUCCGUUGUGACUCAAGAAUAAAAAAUGUUAAUGGCCAACAGCAUAUAAAGUGCCACUAAUCACCAAUAAUUUAUUAUUUCCCAGUGGGGUCCCCAAACAAACACCAUCUUGCCCAACUCCAUUACUGUCCAGGAUUGGAAAAGCUUUUCAAAGUUAAUUAUCUGAUUGAAUCUUCACCUAGGGUUGAGCAGUUUGAAAAUUUUUCAUAAAAAUUAAAUAUACCAGAAAGGAGAAAGUAAGUUUCCUUCCUUUCUUUUCUUUCUUAAGUCCCCCUCUUGUCUCUCUUCCUUUCCUUAGCAAGUCUUUGGCUGUGUCAGCUCUUCUAUGCAUGAUUGGUUUGCUGUGAUCUAUGGAAAACUCUUACUACUUCAGGAAUUUUAUUUUGCUGGGUUUGGGCUAUAGGAUUUUGUUUUGAGGAAGUCUUAAAAGCUUAUAUUCUAGCCAAAACCUUUUAUUCUUGGAACUGCACAGAUAAAUUAGACCAUUUUGGGAAGGACCUUUGCAGUCACAUUGCCAGGAAAAGUUUACAAGUGUAUCCCAAAACAUUAAGUAUUAUUUGGGUGUUCACACAAUAGGUUGAUAAGAUGUUGUUUUUUCCUCUGCUGUUC